GACGAACGCUGGCGGCGUGCUUAACACAUGCAAGUCGAACGGAAAGGCCUGCUUUCCCUUGUGGAUUGCGGGUACUCGAGUGGCGAACGGGUGAGUAACACGUGAGUGAUCUGCCCCCAACUUGGGUAUAAGCCUGGGAAACUGGGUCUAAUUCCCGAUAGGACUGCAGGGUGGUGCCUGUGGUGGAAAACGAUUUUCUAGUGGUUGGGGAUGAGCUCGCGGCCUAUCAGCUUGUUGGUGGGGUAAUGGCCUACCAAGGCGGCGACGGGUAGCCGGCCUGAGAGGGUGGACGGCCACAUUGGGACUGAGAUACGGCCCAGACUCCUACGGGAGGCAGCAGUGGGGGAUAGUGCACAAUGGGCGGAAGCCUGAUGCAGCGACGCCGCGUGGGGGAUGACGGCCUUCGGGUUGUAAACUCCUUUCGACCGCGAGGAAGCCACCUGGUUGGAAGGGUGGUGACGGUAGUGGUAGAAGAAGCACCGGCUAACUACGUG
This 494-nucleotide ribosomal RNA is filed under the name uncultured bacterium. RNAcentral's name for it is "partial 16S ribosomal RNA". It matches the Rfam family "Bacterial small subunit ribosomal RNA", at positions 28 to 507 of the family's 1533-position model. The record is from RNAcentral.